AUGAAACUACUAACAUUCAUAUCUUUUUCUCUCAUUGCCCCCUUCUCUAGAAUCAAUACUGAAAGAGUUUACUCCACUUCUGAUCAUCAUCAUCAUCAUCAGAAAUGCAAAGCAUGGCUAGUUCAGUCAAUACCCACCGACAUGCCGCACCUCUCUCCAGUGCCUGGUGUUCUGUCAACUGGUAGGUACCCAUUUUCUAUUUGACCUUGUUUUUUGCCUGCUUGAUUUCAUUUUCAACCAUAUUUAUGCCUUAACUUUUAUUGGGUUCUUCAUUACUUCAAGUAUGAGCAAAUGGGUCGGUUUGAUUUGAUAUGGAUUUGAUGAAGAACAAGUUUUUUUUUUUAAGUUGGUAUGUUUUUUUUUAUAAAAAAAUUCGCAAUUUGGCUGUCCUUGAAAAUAGAACCUUUAAUUGCCUGCUUGAUUUCAUUUUCAUGACUUAUCUUUUAUGGGGUUCAUCAUUGCUUCAAGUAUGAGCAAAUGGGUAAGUUUGACUUAAUAUGGAUUUGAUGAAGAACAAGUUUUUUUUAUUCUUUCUUAAGUUGGAUUUUUAAAAAAAAAAUCCCAGNNNNNNNNNNNNNNNNNNNNNNNNNNNNNNNNNNNNNNNNNNNNNNNNNNNNNNNNNNNNNNNNNNNNNNNNNNNNNNNNNNNNNNNNNNNNNNNNNNNNACAAGUUUUUUUAAUUCUUUCUUAAGUUGGAAUUUUUUUUUAAAAUCCCAGUUUGGUUAUCCUUGAAAAUAAAACCAUUAAUUGCUCAAUACGUUUUAGAAAUAAAUUUAUGUUUAAUAUUAGAAGAUUGCUUUUGUUUUAGUUUUUAUUAUUGGACAUGAUUGAUAACUACGCUUGACAAGUAAAUUAAUUGUGUAAUUAAGUACACUUUUUUUAAGCUCAAUUAUGAAACACAACAAUACUACUCUGUAUUACUUUAGGCCAACCAAAAACUACCUACCUGUACUUGGUGAAACUUUUUGUGUGGAUAUGUUUCUGUGUGUACCUUUUGAUAAAGCAUUGUUGUAAUACCCCAGUCCCACAUCGAAAGAUAGGGGAAAAAAUUUAUCUGUAUUUAAGGAAAUAAGUUACUACCAAUAGUACCUUCAAGUCAUGACCUUUUGGGAGCCUGUGGUGGGCUAGAUGAUCCAAGAAGAUACUAUUGAGCCAGUGGUUUGAGGCCUUAUUUGGAUGAAUUUGAUUCGAUUCGGACUUGGGAUUUGACCUAAGAUUUGUUCCGGACUCGGGAUUUGACCCGGGUUGUUUCAUAUGGUAUCAAAGCCGACUCUCGAAAGCUCGGGUCGGGUCAUCCGAUCGGGUUGCCGGAGGUGGGGACACGAAGGCUGGUGGUAUUAUCCCACAAUGGAAAGAUGAAGGUCCGGAGGUGGGGACACGAAGCCAGCCGGUAUUAUCCCACAAUGGCUAGAGAGACAAAGAUCUUUGGGCCGUGUGUGUGAUCGGUUCUGACGGGGACGUCAGAAAUUUAAGUGGGGGAGUUUGUAACUCCCCAGUCCCACAUCGAAAGAUAGGGGAAAAAAUUUGUCUGUAUAUAAGGAAAUAAGUUACUACCAAUAGUACCUUUAAGUCAUGACCUUUUGGGAGCCUGUGGUGGGCUAGAUGACCCAAGAAAAUACUAUUGGGCCAGUGGUUUGAGGCCUUAUUUGGAUGAAUUUGAUUCGAUUCGGACUUGGGAUUUGACCCAAGAUUUGUUCCGGACUCGGGAUUUGACCCGAGUUGUUUCAUAUACUAACUCUGUAACACCCCCUUUCCGAAAUAGAAAGAGAGGUUACUCAAAACAUAACAAAACUGAUGAAUUUAAUAGCAAGGCUCUAAUCCACAAAAGAAUAGUCUUAAACUAAUUAAAUGUCUUAAGACAAACCAUAAUAAAUGCCACAUUGGCUCAAACCACAAUCUGAAAUAACUAUUACAACUCCAAAUAAAUCAACGUAUCAUAGCCUAACGAAAUAUAUCAAAACUAUUGGAUAGAAGGGAGCUCUCGUCACACUUGUCCUUGAUUCCCCUGAUUACCUGUCGGAAGAAAAAUACAGCAUGAGCCAAAUGCCCAGUACGGAUAUAGAAUACAAUUAAUGAAGCGAAAUAACUAACUCAAUUAAAUGAAAUAAAACGAAACUAACUGAAACGAAACGAACAAAACCAACACAACGAAAUAAUAGGCUGAAUCAAAUGGCUGGGUGUUAUUUCAUACCGAGCUCAGAAAUAUACCUUGCCACACAGACAAGUCAAAUAAUGCCACACAGACAAGUCACAUAUAUUGGACCGCGAAUCCAAUGCAUGUAAAAUCGGAAGGCGUGUUUGGCACAAACAUCACCAAUCCGCAGAACAGAACAGAACAAAACAGAAAACUAGGGUCGACCCAUACGCCUCCCACAACAAAACACCAAAUGACCAACUCCCACUGGAGCACAAAACAGAGACGCCGCGGACUAAUCACACCGCCACGGAAAGUGUUAUGCCUCGGUGCCAAGAGGACAUGCCUGUGGUACCCCCACAGGUGGUUAUAGCUCAGGUAUACCCUACGGUAUUCUAACAAAAAUAUAAUGUCACAACACAUGCGACAAAAUAUCAACACAAAGGGGUUCUAACAUGUACAUGUUAAAUCGAACGAAUCGUCAACACAAGUCUCCAAAAUAUACUAACAUGUACAUCACUAUAAAUAUCAAAAUACAAUUUAGACAUGACACACUAGUCUAAAGAGUACAAAUAUGAGUUCCAACUAUGAACGCCAAAGGAAACUAUCACAAUGAAUUGACAAGGAAUAAUUAUGAGAAGCAAUACUAAAUUUCGAAACGAAUAACGAAACGAACAAAUCAAAGACAAAAGAAUCUCGCUGAAAGAGUACGGAAUCCGUACCUGAAUUAAGUAAUGUAAUACCCAAAGUUAUUAUCCCAAUAUUUUUCGUUAAAUUCCUUCCGUCCGAUCUGUUAAAAAUAAUAAAUAAAAAAAUGAUUAGAUUAUAAAUUAUAAUUUAAUUUGAAUUGUCUUGUAAAAUUGAUGUAAUUGGAGGAAUUAAUUUUAUAUUAGUAUAAAUUAUAAUUAUUAGGUAACUUAUAAUUGUAUUAUUUUUAUUUUUAUUAGAUCGGACGGAAGGAAUUUAACGAAAAAUAUUGGGAUAAUAACUUUGGGUAUUACAUUACUUAAUUCAGGUACGGAUUCCGUACUCUUUCAGCGAGAUUCUUUUGUCUUUGAUUUGUUCGUUUCGUUAUUCGUUUCGAAAUUUAGUAUUGCCUCUCAUAAUUAUUCCUUGUCAAUUCAUUGUGAUAGUUUCGUUUGGCGUUCAUAGUUAGAACUCAUAUUUGUACUCUUUAGACUAGUGUGUCAUGUCUAAAUUGUAUUUUGAUAUUUAUAGUGAUGUACAUGUUAGUAUAUUUUGGAGACUUGUGUUGACGAUUCGUUCGAUUUAUCAUGUACAUGUUAGAACCCCUUUGUGUUGAUAUUUUGUUGCAUGUGUUGUGAUAUUAUAUUUUUGUUAGAAUACCGUAGGGUAUACCUGAGCUAUAACCACCUGUGGGGGUACCACAGGCAUGUCCUCUUGGCACCGAGGCAUGACACUUUCCGUGGCGGUGUGAUUAGUCCACGGCGUCUCCGUUUUGUGCUCCAGUGGGAGUUGGCCAUUUGGUGUUUUGUUGUGGGAGGCGUAUGGGUCGACCCUAGUUUUCUGUUCUGUUUUGCGGAUUGGUGAUGUUUGUGCCAAACACGCCUUCCGAUUUUACAUGCAUUGGAUUCGCGGUCCAAUGUAUGUGACUUGCCUGUGUGGCAUUAUUUUGACUUGUCUGUGUGGCAAGGUAUAUUUCUGAGCUCGGUAUGAAAUAACACCCAGCCAUUUGAUUCAGCCUAUUAUUUCGUUGUGUUAGUUUUGUUCGUUUCGUUUCAGUUAGUUUCGUUUUAUUUCAUUUAAUUGAGUUAGUUAUUUCGCUUCAUUAAUUGUAUUCUAUAUCCGUACUGGGCAUUUGGCUCAUGCUGUGUUUUUCUUCCGGCAGGUAAUCAGGGGAAUCAAGGACAAGUGUGACGAGA
Molecule: long non-coding RNA, 4016 nt
Filed under: Panax ginseng (ginseng)
Lineage: Eukaryota; Viridiplantae; Streptophyta; Magnoliopsida; Apiales; Araliaceae
Description: long non-coding RNA (PGIN_LNC015877)
Source: RNAcentral